RNAcentral lists this transfer RNA (71 nucleotides) under Marmota monax (woodchuck). Its description in RNAcentral is "tRNA.Ala". Lineage: Eukaryota; Metazoa; Chordata; Mammalia; Rodentia; Sciuridae. The record is from RNAcentral.
GGGGUUGUGACUCAGUGGUAGAGUGCUGGCCUAGCAUGAGUGAGGCACUGGGUUUGAGCCUCAGCAUCCCA